AUGGAGCUGUCAUCCCCACACUCCAUCAUUCCCAAAAUCUUGACCUUCACCAAUCCAUCAUUUUCAAACAGAAACACACUGUGGCACAUGUAUCAUUCCAAAAACCCAAACACGCUGAUACUGUUAUCAUUCGAAAACCCUGACACUGUAAACCAUUUAUGUCUGACACACUGUCACUAUGACAUGUCAAUGAUUGGUUUCUCAAAUGAUUGCCUCGCCUGGUUCACCAACUACUUCUCUGAUAGAGUUCAGUGUGUCAAAUCGGAGGGUCUGCUGUCCGGACCUCUGGCAGUCUCUAUGGGGGUGCCACAGGGUUCAAUUCUUGGACCGACUCUCUUCUCUGUAUACAUCAAUGAGGUCGCUCUUGCUGCUGGUGAGUCUCUGAUCCACCUCUACGCAGACGACACCAUUCUGUAUACUUCUGGCCCUUCUUUGGACACUGUGUUAACAACCCUCCAGGCAAGCUUCAAUGCCAUACAACUCUCUUUCCGUGGCCUCCAAUUGCUCUUAAAUACAAGUAAAACUAAAUGCAUGCUCUUCAACCGAUCGCUACCUGUACCUACCCGCCUGUCCAACAUUACUACUCUGGACGGCUCUGACUUAGAAUACGUGGACAACUACAAAUACUUAGGUGUCUGGUUAGACUGUAAACUCUCCUUCCAGACCCAUAUCAAACAUCUCCAAUCCAAAGUUAAAUCUAGAAUUGGCUUCCUAUUUCGCAACAAAGCAUCCUUCACUCAUGCUGCCAAACAUACCCUUGUAAAACUGACCAUCCUACCAAUCCUCGACUUUGGCGAUGUCAUUUACAAAAUAGCCUCCAAUACCCUACUCAACAAAUUGGAUGCAGUCUAUCACAGUGCAAUCCGUUUUGUCACCAAAGCCCCAUAUACUACCCACCAUUGCGACCUGUACGCUCUCGUUGGCUGGCCCUCGCUUCAUACUCGUCGCCAAACCCACUGGCUCCAUGUCAUCUACAAGACCCUGCUAGGUAAAGUCCCCCCUUAUCUCAGCUCGCUGGUCACCAUUGCAUCUCCCACCUGUAGCACACGCUCCAGCAGGUAUAUCUCUCUAGUCACCCCCAAAACCAAUUCUUUCUUUGGCCGCCUCUCCUUCCAGUUCUCUGCUGCCAAUGACUGGAACGAGCUACAAAAAUCUCUGAAAUUGGAAACACUUAUCUCCCUCACUAGCUUUAAGCACCAACUGUCAGAGCAGCUCACAGAUUACUGCACCUGUACAUAG
Molecule: long non-coding RNA, 1239 nt
Organism: Oncorhynchus mykiss (rainbow trout)
Lineage: Eukaryota; Metazoa; Chordata; Actinopteri; Salmoniformes; Salmonidae
Source: Ensembl